RNAcentral lists this ribosomal RNA (513 nucleotides) under Bipolaris yamadae. RNAcentral describes it as "eukaryotic LSU rRNA". The stretch from base 125 to 278 matches the Rfam family "5.8S ribosomal RNA". The record is from RNAcentral. Lineage: Eukaryota; Fungi; Ascomycota; Dothideomycetes; Pleosporales; Pleosporaceae.
CACCCAUGUCUUUUGCGCACUUGUUGUUUCCUGGGCGGGUUCGCCCGCCACCAGGACCAAACCAUAAACCUUUUUUUUUAAUGCAGUUGCAAUCAGCGUCAGUAAAAAACAAUGUAAUUAUUACAACUUUCAACAACGGAUCUCUUGGUUCUGGCAUCGAUGAAGAACGCAGCGAAAUGCGAUACGUAGUGUGAAUUGCAGAAUUCAGUGAAUCAUCGAAUCUUUGAACGCACAUUGCGCCCUUUGGUAUUCCAAAGGGCAUGCCUGUUCGAGCGUCAUUUGUACCUUCAAGCUUUGCUUGGUGUUGGGCGUUUUUUGUCUCCCUCUUGCUGGGAGACUCGCCUUAAAACGAUUGGCAGCCGGCCUACUGGUUUCGGAGCGCAGCACAUAUUUUGCACUCUGUGUCAGGAGAAAAGGACGGUAAUCCAUCAAGACUCUACAAAUUUUAACUUUUGACCUCGGAUCAGGUAGGGAUACCCGCUGAACUUAAGCAUAUCAAAAGCCCGGAGGAAA